RNAcentral lists this long non-coding RNA (1990 nucleotides) under Junco hyemalis (dark-eyed junco). Its description in RNAcentral is "lncRNA (ENSJHYG00000001675.1)". The record is from RNAcentral. Lineage: Eukaryota; Metazoa; Chordata; Aves; Passeriformes; Passerellidae.
GAGGGUCAAAAGCUUUGUGGCAUCCAGUGCCUUUUGUGGGGAGCUUGGAGUGAAAUCACAGAAAUCUUCCAGAAGACUGGUUCAUUUUUAAUGAGCUAGGACUAUAAUUUGUCUGUUUAAUUCAACCUGAGUGACCUAAUCGCUUCAAUUUGGACUUAUUACCAGCAGAGCAGUCAGUCAGUUGGAAGUAGACCCAGGGCAAGGCAUUUUGUCAUUAUCUUAAAUUUUCUCUAUCUGACAAAUUUGAAGGUCUUGAAGAGACUGAAGCCAUUGUAAAGGAUAGAGCAUAAGAGAAUAGGUCACACAGUGUGUUAAAGAAUGAAAAUUGAUUCAUUCUUUCCUCUGUUGAAUAAGCAGCUGUACUUUCAUCCCUGUGAUCCAUGAAAUAAGCUGUCAGAGAAAUAGGAAAUGUGCCACAUUUGAACUUCACUCAUUGAUUCUGUUCUGAUCCAAGGUGUAGUAUUAAAAUGCAGUAUGGUUGAUGAAGAAUCUGCAGCAGUGACAACAGCCAGGCCCAGCUUACUUAUCAGUUGUCUGGGCUAUUUGUAAUUAAAUUAUUCAGUGCUUUACAAUGCUGUGACUCAUUUACUUAAGUCGUGGUCAGGAGAAAUUUCACAAAACCAACAUUUGUUAGUUUUAAAUAAAACCAAAGGCUGCAGAAAAGGCUCACCGUUCUAUAAUUGUAUCCCCUUUAAUCACGCCUAAUAAUUUGCAGACAAUUCAGAAAAAUCUACUGUAGUCAGUGUAAGAAUGGAUAGCAGAGAAUUCUAGAAUUUGGGAUUUUAUCUGGAGCAUGUCAGGCCAAUUAAUGCCUGUAAUUUAGACCUAGCUGUGAAAUUAAAUGGAGGACAUUCCCAUUAUUCCCUAAAAUCGAUGCCUGGUUUCAUUUCUUGUAACAGAACAUACCUUCCUUUACAUACCUAUCUCCAAGUAAAAAAUUUAACCUUGUUAUGCUGUUCUCAAGUAGGAUCCAGAGGACUGCCUGCAACUGUGACUGACUGUGUUAAGUCUGUUUUAUCCACACUGAAGUCUUUUCUUUCUUUGAAUUUUCUGUUUGAGAUGAAUAAUGGUUUGAAUAUGGUAUGUGAUGGCUCUGUAGACUCCAAAGAUAUAACUUGAACAAAUACAUUGUUCUGGAGAGCUGGUAUAACAACACUGCUUAAAAUUUAGACACAUUCCAACUACCAAACAGGCAGGAGCAGGACCAUCCUGGCCUGCGGGAUCUAUAUGCAAUGCAAGAAUGGGCAAACAUUUGUGCAGCAAGGAGGCUGUGAAAAGGUGAAGGAGGCUUGCAGAAGGGGAGGAGAAGGAGCAUGCUAAAGCAAGCAGCAUGCCGUUCGCCUCGACUCAGCACAUUGGGGUCUUGCACUCCUGAGGUCUGGGAUACCAGCAGCUGUGUCCUUCUGGUGUUGUCCUAUGCCUUGCAGAGGAGUGAAGAGAACUUCCAGAGGUUAUCCAGCUCUGCUUUUCCUCAGUAUAUCCUCAGCCAUCACAUGGAGAUGUGUUUUCUGCAAGACUUUGUAUGUGUUCUGUAACAUCAGGUUGUUGUGUUGAACCUGUUGUGUUGAACAUUUCUGCACACAGAUCAGAAUCUGGCCUGGGUCACUGGUCCUGUGCAUAGACAAUUUUGUUAGGGUGAUGGUCCCUGGUGACUUAACUGAGCAAGCACUGUACACACCAGAGAACCCACUUGAAACAGCUACUCGUUUUGCAGUCCCUGUGCUUGAAGAUUAACAUCCUUCCCAAAACCUGCCUCAGUCCCAGAGCAACAGGCUCUGUCCUGUCCUCCAGCCUCUCCAUCACUCAUUUACUGCAACGAUUGGCUUCAGCCUUCGAUUUCCUCUGUGGAGCAUAUUGGAAAGAGACAGGCUGAGUUGUGAACAUUAAUAACAAUGAAUAAUAACAGCACAAGUUCCACAAGCUUUAACAAUCAAAUGAAUCAACAGUCAGAAGGAUUUAAUUAAUAAAUACCUGCAGGAGUUAGAUGACA